Non-coding RNA from Triticum aestivum (bread wheat), 124 nucleotides. The record is from Rfam. Lineage: Eukaryota; Viridiplantae; Streptophyta; Magnoliopsida; Poales; Poaceae.
AAACUACUCAUCCGUCCAGAAAUACUUGUCGGAGAAAUGCAUAAAAAUGGAUGUAUCUAGAACUAAAAUAUGUCUAGAUACAUCCAUUUCUCCGACAAGUAUUUCCGGAUGGAGGGAGUAUCAU